Molecule: long non-coding RNA, 918 nt
Organism: Micropterus dolomieu (smallmouth bass)
Lineage: Eukaryota; Metazoa; Chordata; Actinopteri; Centrarchiformes; Centrarchidae
Exons: 4
Source: RefSeq, a predicted model, not a curated record
UAGUGAUAAUGUCCAUAUAGGAGUAGCCUUGGUCUUUACGGAUCUGCUCAAGCUCUGGAUCUGAUUCAUAGAUAUCAGCAUUCAGCUGCAACAACAGGACGACUGUAAUCAGUGAUCAAACUCAUCUGUGGAAAGUAAUUCCACGGAGUUAAAUCUAUUUGGAGGGCCACCUGACUGCAGCCUGCUUCCUGUAUGCGGGGAUGACGGCGCGUGCUUCUGUCACGUGGCCCUGACCAAAUCACUAGUGAGGGUGUCGAGAAGACCACAUCUACCGGCGAUGAUGCAUCUUCCUCUAACCUUUACAGCAGAGAUCCUGCAAAAAAAUAUGAGAAAGAAAUACCUGCCUCCUGUGUUCUGUGACACCACGCAGACCACCUGACAAACCCUCAUACAAAAGGCAUACUGACUCAGACAACUUUGCUUCCCAAAAGGAUGACAGUGAACCCAACACCUCGGCCUCUGCAGGAAGGUGAGACGUCAUGAGGAUGUGUCAUAUCAGCUGGCACCACUUACUGGUUUACAUUCAUAAACAGAACCGUCUGUGAAAAUGGAACGCACACCACAGUAAAUAUAAUCCCAUUUUACUUGCAGGGCUAGAGGGAUUUAUUUGGUUAUUUGCCAGAAAGCACCUAAUGAAUGAUGUGAGUGUUCCUAUGAUCAUUUCUCACCCUAAAUUAGAAAUGCAUAAAGAAGAAGAGCAGAGAAGCAAGCCAUUUCAUUCAAGGGUUUUUCACUGCUGUAUUAGACUUGUAAAUCACCAUUAGGCUUUCAUUAAAGUGGACUAAUCAGGGCACUUUGUAUGAAAAAUAUAGACAGAAAUAAUGAAUCUACUUAACCCUUUGAUGCACAAGCUAUGCAAACUCCUUCUAAUGCAGAACAUGGGUCAAAAAGUACCCAUACUCAUUUCCUAUGUAAUUU